UGAUAUACUUUGUUUUCUGCACUCCGCUC
RNAcentral lists this non-coding RNA (29 nucleotides) under Mus musculus (house mouse). The record is from RNAcentral. Lineage: Eukaryota; Metazoa; Chordata; Mammalia; Rodentia; Muridae.